CCCUAGCCCCGAUAGCAGUGGAAAUCCUUUUAUUUUUUUUCUUUAAAAAAAUAAAAGAUUGUAACGGAUAGCGGGAUUAGCU
Molecule: small RNA, 82 nt
Filed under: Flavobacterium saccharophilum
Lineage: Bacteria; Pseudomonadati; Bacteroidota; Flavobacteriia; Flavobacteriales; Flavobacteriaceae
Description: Flavo-1 RNA
Rfam family: Flavo-1 RNA
Source: RNAcentral